GAUGAACGCUGGCGGCGUGCUUAACACAUGCAAGUCGAACGAAGCACCUUGAUUCGAUUCUUCGGAUGAAGAUCUUGGUGACUGAGUGGCGGACGGGUGAGUAACGCGUGGGUAACCUGCCUCAUACAGGAGGAUAACAGUUAGAAAUGACUGCUAAUACCGCAUAAGACCACAGCACCGCAUGGUGCAGGGGUAAAAACUCCGGUGGUAUGAGAUGGACCCGCGUCUGAUUAGGUAGUUGGUGGGGUAACGGCCUACCAAGCCGACGAUCAGUAGCCGACCUGAGAGGGUGACCGGCCACAUUGGGACUGAGACACGGCCCAAACUCCUACGGGAGGCAGCAGUGGGGAAUAUUGCACAAUGGGGGAAACCCUGAUGCAGCGACGCCGCGUGAGCGAUGAAGUAUUUCGGUAUGUAAAGCUCUAUCAGCAGGGAAGAAAAUGACGGUACCUGACUAAGAAGCACCGGCUAAAUACGUG
Molecule: ribosomal RNA, 479 nt
Filed under: uncultured bacterium
Lineage: Bacteria
Description: partial 16S ribosomal RNA
Rfam family: Bacterial small subunit ribosomal RNA
Source: RNAcentral